Molecule: ribosomal RNA, 482 nt
Filed under: Epiplatys dageti dageti
Lineage: Eukaryota; Metazoa; Chordata; Actinopteri; Cyprinodontiformes; Nothobranchiidae
Description: partial 16S ribosomal RNA
Rfam family: Bacterial large subunit ribosomal RNA
Source: RNAcentral
AACGGCCGCGGUAUUUUGACCGUGCAAAGGUAGCGCAAUCAAUUGUCUUUUAAAUGAAGGCCCGUAUGAAUGGCAUAACGAGGGCUUAACUGUCUCCUUUUUUCAGUCAAUGAAAUUGAUCUUCCCGUGCAGAAGCGGGAAUUUGUACAUAAGACGAGAAGACCCUAUGGAGCUUAUAAACGCAAGAACAGACCAUGUCACUCCUUUUAACUUAAUUAAAUUUAUUAAACUAACUGUGUAUACUGUUCUAAUGUUUUUGGUUGGGGCGACCACGGAGUAGAAUUUAACCUCCACGCAGAACGAAAAUACUCAUUUUUCUAUUCAAGGAAAACAAUCCUAGAACCCAGAACAUCUGACUUUUAUUGAUCCAGCAUGGCCGAUUUUCGAACCGAGUUACCCUAGGGAUAACAGCGCAAUCCUCCUUUAGAGUCUCAAUCGACAAGAGGGUUUACGACCUCGAUGUUGGACCAGGACAUCCUAUU